This 289-nucleotide long non-coding RNA is filed under the name Rhinopithecus bieti (black snub-nosed monkey). RNAcentral describes it as "lncRNA (ENSRBIG00000045123.1)". Lineage: Eukaryota; Metazoa; Chordata; Mammalia; Primates; Cercopithecidae. The record is from RNAcentral.
CUUCAGUAUUACAAGAUCAGGACCCAGAACCAGAGAUUCCUGAGUCUCCACUAAAAAGGUUGUAUAGUUGCCAAAACAACUUUUCAGAAAGAGUAGCCAUGGAAACAGCACACCAGAUUGUCUCAAGGGGUGUAUAAAACAUCUGAAAACUGACUUGGAGCACUUGGCAAACACUGAGAGAGAACUUGGAACUGGAAUGUCACUGGAUCCACUUGGGAAAGUAUUUUACUGAGGAAAAGGAAACAAGAUGCCACCAAAAUGCUGGAGAGAACAAUUGUUAGGAUAAUAA